GACGAACGCUGGCGGCGUGCUUGACACAUGCAAGUCGAACGGAAAGGCCUGCUUUCCCUUGUGGAUUGCGGGUACUCGAGUGGCGAACGGGUGAGUAACACGUGAGUGAUCUGCCCCCAACUUGGGUAUAAGCCUGGGAAACUGGGUCUAAUUCCCGAUAGGACUGCAGGGUGGUGCCUGUGGUGGAAAACGAUUUUCUAGUGGUUGGGGAUGAGCUCGCGGCCUAUCAGCUUGUUGGUGGGGUAAUGGCCUACCAAGGCGGCGACGGGUAGCCGGCCUGAGAGGGUGGACGGCCACAUUGGGACUGAGAUACGGCCCAGACUCCUACGGGAGGCAGCAGUGGGGAAUAUUGCACAAUGGGCGGAAGCCUGAUGCAGCGACGCCGCGUGGGGGAUGACGGCCUUCGGGUUGUAAACUCCUUUCGACCGCGAGGAAGCCACCUGGUUGGAAGUGUGGAGACGGUAGUGGUAGAAGAAGCACCGGCUAACUACGUG
Molecule: ribosomal RNA, 494 nt
Filed under: uncultured bacterium
Lineage: Bacteria
Description: partial 16S ribosomal RNA
Rfam family: Bacterial small subunit ribosomal RNA
Source: RNAcentral